GAACAAUAACAAAUCAUAUUACUAAUGAUCAAACUGCUAGAAAAGGGAGUGGUCUGUUGCGUGUUUCACUUUAGUCAUCAUUACAAAGUUUUAUUUUGUCGAGUUAAUAGGAGAGCAUCAGUUUUCUUGUCACUGAACUUCGUCACGGAAAAUCGUGCUGCACACCAACGAACGAUGGAUUUGUCAACGACGUCAUCGAAGUUCGUUUUGUUUAUAUGUCUGCUUGUUGGCAUUGGACCAAUGCUCGCAAAGAGUCAGAUUGUGACGACUAUAUUGCUUUGUGAAGGCGACAUCCGACUGAUAGACGGCAUGGGAGGAAAGAUUCAGGUCUUGUCUGCGCUUUAUGGUCGCAUCGAUCCAUCUCUCUGUCUUUCUACCACUACCACCACUACCACCACUGACUCCACCACAACAGAAAUCCCUAUAAUAACAAAUGCAGACCCCGUCGGCGGAGGUGCUCUACCACAACCAACACUACCACCUGAACAAACCAUCGCCGCCCCCACCACCGCCGCCGUGGCCUCGAUCCCAUGUAAAAGUACCGCUACUGCCAGCCUGAUCACGGACAUUUGCAAUGGAAGGUGUCAGUGCAUAAUGGCUGCCUCGAAUAGUUUGUUUGGGGACCCCUGUCCUGGCCUGACCGAGUAUGUCACUAUGACCUACACAAUAAUUAUUGAGUAGUAACCAGGCAGGCCAAUUCUAGAACUCAUCCACCAACCAAGGAUUCGUCAACAUCAAACACAGCGCCAUCUACGAGAAAGAUCCUCAACUACCCGUCAACAAAAGACAUUGGCUGUGAAAACUGGAUUAAUUAACAUACAGUCAUGUACAACUUACGCUUGAAAAAAUGUCAUUUGAAGGGGACCAAAAUUCUAUGAAAUCUGCCCCUCCGCUUUUUCAAAAAAAUUAAAAUUAAAAAAAAGAAGAUGACUUUAUUUCGAGAAAAAACGAAAAUGACCCUUAAAAUUGGUUUGGGUUUCGAGGCUUUAGCGGCACACCCCGUCAAAACCAAAUCUGAGUACCCCCCCCCCCCGGAAUCUCGCUGAUCACAGUAAUUCAGUACGGGUUGUUUUCUAUUUUCUUUUAUUGUUUUUAUUCUUCUUCUUCUCUUUCUCUCUUUCCUUCUUCUUGGGGUCAAUAUUAACACCGGAAAGAUGAAAAAAGGCAUCUUUAUUUCUUUGAAAAUAUAUAUUUUUUCUGGAUUGCGUCCCUUCAAACUUCGUUGAUUCCACACCCGACACAAUGGGAUAUUGAUAUAAUAUUUAAAGUCCCCAAGUAGUUAGCUGUGUUUUUUCUCUAGUCUGUAAAUGUGCUUAAUCUUGUUGUUCAUCUAUUUCUUAUUAGAGCUUUUAGAACGAAAAACUGCUAAGUUGAGACACCGUUUUUUUAAACAUACGGAAGUAGGGAACCUUACCAUUAAGUUAACGUGAGGCAUUGCAAAUUCAAAGCUGUUGUAAGUAUUUCAAACAGACAUUAUAUAGGAUGUAUUCUUUAACAUAGUAAUGUGUAUUUAAACUGAAUUUCAACUCAUUAUGAUUACAGUAAAUAUCUAUGUUUGAGAUCUGGUGUAAACAGUUCGAUGGUACGCCCUGCUGUGCUUAAAUGUCAGAUAAAAUUGUAUAUGCUAUUUCCCUCCAUAAUGUUUGUAUAGUCUUAUGUUGGCCUUAUCAUUAAAAUCAAACUGAAAAUCAGAGGAAGUAACAUUUAUUAGCUCAAGACAUGUCAACAUGAAAUCGGCUGAAUUGGCAAAAACACGACAAAUUCCUAAUGUAGACCUCCUGUGUAGAUUUUUUACUUUGUAUAAGAUGCAUAAGGCUAAAAAAAAAAGAAGAUGUUGUAUUGCUUUGCGACUGACCCGAAAAUCUUAAAAUCUGCGGUCGGCUUUUUAUUACAUUUUUUUAAACCGAUUUUUAGAAACUAAAUGUUUAAUGAAAUUUAAAAAAUGUAUUUUGUUCGUUUAAAUGGGAUACAAAUGCAUGAAACCAUCAAAUUAUUCCCAAAUUCUCACUUGUCUUCUGCUCUAGUUUCGAAAUCUUUCUAGCCUACGUGUAUACACCAUGCACUCUAUGAAGCCAGCGAGAUUUGGGCGACGUUCCCGGUUUUGAGUUUUUAUGGGCGACGGUCGCUGUUUUGAGGGGGAAGAAAUAAACCUUACCGACCGACCCAGGUUCUGGCACCUAAAAGGGCAAUACAACAUCUUUUUUUAGGCCUAAGGUUAAAUUAUGUUUACGAUAUCUUCUUCAUGUUGUUGUUGGUGAUGGUUUAAUGGCUAUUGUCCAUAGGUGAUUAAAGCUACCCAUUAACUGUGCGGGAGUGGAAAUGGGCUCUUUUUGAGGAGUAAUAAUUAUAUGAGGGGUAUACGUUGAAAGCUUUAAUCCAUUCCAAAUCAUAGUGGAAUCCAUUCCGUAGUUGAAAUACUUUUCAUUAAUAUAGUGGAUUCAAGUUUUGAUUUUGACAACCGCUCUUUUCAGGUUUGUAAUUACCACUCUAUCAUUCAUUUGCCUCUGUUUGUGUUAGUGUUUGUAGCCUAUUUUGUGUAGGAUCAUGUACCUGUAACUAUUUGAUGAUCAAACCACUUUAUAAUUCCGUUGGUGUAUUUUCCAUUUUCCAUUUUAUUGUCUCAUCCAUAAUUAUUACGGUAAGAAAGAUUUUAUUCCAAUGAUUGUAUACAUUGGGUUUGAAUGAUUUUAUGAAAGUGGUGAUAACAUUCAAUUUAAAACCUAUUUAGAAGUGUUCCCUAAUAAUAACUAUACCUAAGGUGGAUUUCCACCAUUUGAUGUAAUGACUCUUGAUGUAUUGUGCACCCCUUUCCCUCUGUAUAAUGUAUCUCUCUUAAUUUGUUUUAGUCUAUCUCAGUAUAUCUCUGGAAUAUUCUAUAUAGGUCUCCAGAAGCGCCCCCUCCCCCCCUCUCUCUCUCUCCCUUUC
RNA transcript from Strongylocentrotus purpuratus (purple sea urchin), 2925 nucleotides. RefSeq lists it as uncharacterized. Lineage: Eukaryota; Metazoa; Echinodermata; Echinoidea; Camarodonta; Strongylocentrotidae. The transcript is spliced from 4 exons. The record is from RefSeq and is a predicted model, not a curated record.